GACAGCAGCCGCCGCGGGAAAACGAAAGGUCCAAGCGUUACUCGGAAUUACUGGGCGUAAAGCGCGCGUAGGCGGCUUUGUAUGUCGAUUGUGAAAGCCCCGGGCUCAACCUGGGAACUGCAGUCGAAACUGCAAAGCUUGAAUGUUGGAGAGGUUGGGGGAAUACCUAGUGGGGAAGUGAAAUUCGUAGAGAUGUGGAGGAACACCGAUGGCGAAGGCAGCCCCCUGGGCCAAUACUGACGCUCAUGCACGAAAGCGUGGGGAGCAAACAGGAUUAGAUACCCCUGUAGUCCCUGUCUCUUAACA
This 306-nucleotide ribosomal RNA is filed under the name uncultured bacterium. Its description in RNAcentral is "partial 16S ribosomal RNA". It matches the Rfam family "Bacterial small subunit ribosomal RNA", at positions 507 to 808 of the family's 1533-position model. The record is from RNAcentral.